This is a long non-coding RNA of Oryza brachyantha (malo sina), 1698 nucleotides long. RefSeq lists it as uncharacterized. The record is from RefSeq and is a predicted model, not a curated record. NCBI's taxonomy places the organism in Eukaryota, Viridiplantae, Streptophyta, Magnoliopsida, Poales, Poaceae. The transcript is spliced from 11 exons.
AUGCAGUUUACUUCCCUUUUUCAUUCAGUUGCUCCUCCAUCAAGAAUCGGACAACUCUGCCCAGCUCUCCCAGAUUGAUACUGAGCAAUUGUUGGCCCACUUAGUAGAAGCAGAAAUGAUAAAGAGAACAAAAGAAGGAUCUCCUCCCCGUUUUCAGCUCUGUAUGCCAUUUCAUCGAUGAUAAAAACUUAUUUUCUAUUCACCGUUUUCACUGAGUAUGUGAUAUUGUCAAUUUUUUUGUGAUUAUUUAAUGUGUCUGAUGAUUUGAUGACCAGUUACUGAUUUGUUGGAAUAAUCUGAUUUGCGUGCCAUUUAGCUACAUUGUCAUUGGGAUGGAUUUCUUAAAUUGCUACCUGAUCAAUCUAAUUCAGCUAGCACUAUCGUUUCUGAACUUAUUCAGAAUAGGAGAUUGCACUAAAUGAGGUACUGCCUGUGACCAUUGCUCGUGAUGCUAUCCAGUACUCCCUGGAGUGGACAUCGUGGAGUCUCUACACCAGAUUCGUUACCACAAUCAGGCUCACUGUCUUGUGUUCUUUCCAAAUUUUGUCUCUAAUCGACUCCAAGCUAGACAAUUUCCUAUCCAAUAUGCUGCUGCUGGAGGGAUGGGAUAAGAAAGGUUGACUGGUGUAUGUCUGGCUUCUUAGUUUGUUCAACUCAGAUAUUCAGCAACAGUCUCAUAUUAUUUUUGAUACAACAGAAAAGAGUUUGUUGCUUCACUGUUCUGGUUGUUCUCGACAUGUUCACCCUGGUUGUCUGACGCCACCUUGGACUGGGAUAUUAGCUGAUGAUUGGUCAUGCUGCACAUGCAAUAAGUUAGAAGGAGAGGAAAAUGAACAAGAUGCUCAUGUAGCUGAUUUUUCACAGAGAUUUACAGGUAGUAAGGUGAUAAGCUGUUGACAAGAGAAGCAUUUGAUCGAGCUCGGAGCAUUAAUCCUUCAUUGGCCUUGCCAUGGGAAGGCCUGGGCUUUGCAGAUACUACCCAUAAGCAUAGUUCAUAUGUAUCAUUCUUCUCAGGAUAACACUUCCAUUGUCAAAAUAAUUUGGGAUUUUGAUUUCAUUAUCAUGAUAUUUUGCCAGAGUUCCAGAUUGGUCUUGGAACAAUUGCCGCUCAUUCCGGUGAAUUUCUAUCACCUCAGGCUGGUCUUGCAACUGAGGUAGUGUGGGAGUGUGAAGAAUUGAAAAGAAGGAUUUGUAAGUACUGACAGAUUGCAUACAUAUGCUCUGUCACUGUGGAAACUUGAUCGACAUGAUGAAGCUCUUUCAGUAUCAAGAAACUUGGCUAAAAGCUUAUCCAGUAUGAACUAGCAGAGUGCAACUGUGGCUUUGGGGUUUAUAUGCACGUUGACUACAUCUCUGGGAAGGACUCCGCAGCUGCGGUUAUUCAUAAACCGCCUGGUCAACUCAAUUACAGCACAGAGGGAGGCUAGGGCUGGGACCCGGGGAGAGGGGAGUCCAACGCCCAGGGAGAGAGCGUUUGCACAAGUUCAUAAUAGAACCUUUGUGCAUAGUUAAAUUUAUAUUUUAAUUAAAGAAAUAUUCAGGUAAUAAAUAAUUAUUGAUGUAUACUUAUUGAUUUUGUUUACCAUGUGUAAAUACUUCAACGCUAUUGAGUUUGGUGAUGUAGACGGAGCGUUUAGUGUUAUUGUAAUGGUAGAGAAGAAAUUCUAGACAAAGACUGACGAGAUGCAACACUUCAUA